AGCAGCCGCGGUAAUUCCAGCUCCAAUAGCGUAUAUUAAAGUUGUUGCAGUUAAAAAGCUCGUAGUUGAAUUUUUGAUUCUUCCAAUUGGUCCAUCUUUUAGAUGAGUACUGGUUGUGUGGGGUCUAUCCGCCUGGUGAUACGUAAUGUCCUUUAUUGGGUGUUGCGGGUAGUCAGGACGUUUACCUUGAAAAAUUAGAGUGUUUAAAGCAGGCUUAUGCCGGAAUACAUUAGCAUGGAAUAAUAGAAUAGGACGAAGUUGUUUUAUUUUGUUGGUUUCUAGGACAACCGUAAUGAUUAAUAGGGAUAGUUGGGGGCAUUAGUAUUCAAUUGUCAGAGGUGAAAUUCUUGGAUUUAUUGAAGACUAACUAUUGCGAAAGCAUUUGCCAAGGAUGUUUUCAUUAAUCAAGAACGAAGUUAGGGGAUCGAAGACGAUCAGAUACCGUCGUAG
This 450-nucleotide ribosomal RNA is filed under the name uncultured Glomeromycotina. RNAcentral describes it as "SSU rRNA". It matches the Rfam family "Eukaryotic small subunit ribosomal RNA", at positions 569 to 1023 of the family's 1831-position model. The record is from RNAcentral. Lineage: Eukaryota; Fungi; Glomeromycota.